RNAcentral lists this long non-coding RNA (266 nucleotides) under Phoenix dactylifera (date palm). RNAcentral describes it as "long non-coding RNA (PDAC_LNC010653)". Lineage: Eukaryota; Viridiplantae; Streptophyta; Magnoliopsida; Arecales; Arecaceae. The record is from RNAcentral.
UAUGCAUUUGAAAUUAGAUUUUAUAAAACAAUAAACUCUUUGAGUAGAGACAACAGUUUGUGGGUAUCUGAGCCGGAAACCCUCACGAAACAAAACUCGUCCACUAGGGCCACCUAGGGGUUUAAAGCCUUAUUGCAUAUGGUAAAUGCAAUCGCGAUUCCUGCGAAAGUGAGUUAGUUUUUUUUAUUUUGCUCGAGGACUAGCAAAAUUUAGGUUGGGGGGGUGUGGUAAGUACUAAAUAAUGCAUAAAUUAAUAUCUUAUUCAU